Molecule: non-coding RNA, 663 nt
Organism: Peromyscus maniculatus bairdii (prairie deer mouse)
Lineage: Eukaryota; Metazoa; Chordata; Mammalia; Rodentia; Cricetidae
Source: the annotation of a RefSeq genome assembly
AUGUGGUUGGGGCUGCACUGGGUUUUCUUGGUUGUUCUUUUAAAAGGUGUCCAUUGUAAGGUGCAGCUGGUUGAGUCUGGAGGAGGAUUGGUGCAGCCUAAAGCAGCAUUGAAACUGUCAUGUGCAGCCUCUGGAUUCACCAUCAGUGACUUUACCAUACACUGGAUCCGCCAGGCUCCAGGGAAAGGUCUUGAAUGGGUUGCCAGUAUAAGAAGUAAAGAUUAUAAUUCUCAAACAUAUUAUGCUGAUUCGGUGAAAGACAGAUUCACCAUCUCCAGAGAUGAUUCCCAAAGCAUGGCCUACCUGCAAGUGAACAGUCUUAAAACUGAGGACACAGCCUCGUAUUACUGUGCAAGACACACACUGAGGCGUCUUCACUAUGAGCCCAGAACUUCAGCACAGGAGUCCUGCAAGGAGUUUGACUCAGAAAACUUCCUCAGUUUCUCUGUGAAUUGGCUGAGGCACGAGCAUGGACUUGAGCUUGAAUGGAUUGGAAACACACCCCCAAGCACUGGCAGAACAUACUAUGGACAUAAGUUUCAGGACAGAGCCACCCUGGAUGUAGACAUCGUCUCCGACACAGACUCCUUGGAGCACAGCAACUGUCAUCUGAGGACUCUGCCGUCUAUUGCUGUACGAGGCUCAGUGUCAGCUCACAUCUGA